UACGUAGGGGGCAAGCGUUGUCCGGAUUUAUUGGGCGUAAAGAGCGUGUAGGCGGCUUUACAGGUCCGUUGUGAAAACUCGAGGCUCAACCUCGAGACGCCGGUGGAAACCGUAAAGCUAGAGUCCGGAAGAGGAGAGUGGAAUUCCUGGUGUAGCGGUGAAAUGCGCAGAUAUCAGGAGGAACACCCGUGGCGAAAGCGGCUCUCUGGGACGGUACUGACGCUGAGGCGCGAAAGCGUGGGGAGCGAACAGG
Molecule: ribosomal RNA, 253 nt
Filed under: uncultured bacterium
Lineage: Bacteria
Description: partial 16S ribosomal RNA
Rfam family: Bacterial small subunit ribosomal RNA
Source: RNAcentral